UGUAUUUGUGCACCCGAACCGCC
This 23-nucleotide non-coding RNA is filed under the name Arabidopsis thaliana (thale cress). Lineage: Eukaryota; Viridiplantae; Streptophyta; Magnoliopsida; Brassicales; Brassicaceae. The record is from RNAcentral.